GGUCGGACUCUAGCGAGACUGCCGGUAAUAAACCGGAGGAAGUGGGGAUGACGUCAAAUCAUCAUGCCCCUUAUGACCUGGGCUACACACGUGCUACAAUGGUUGGUACAACGAGUUGCGAGUCGGUGACGGCGAGCUAAUCUCUUAAAGCCAAUCUCAGUUCGGAUUGUAGGCUGCAACUCGCCUACAUGAAGUCGGAAUCGCUAGUAAUCGCGGAUCAGCACGCCGCGGUGAAUACGUUCCCGGGCCUU
RNAcentral lists this ribosomal RNA (251 nucleotides) under uncultured Streptococcus sp. RNAcentral describes it as "partial 16S ribosomal RNA". It matches the Rfam family "Bacterial small subunit ribosomal RNA", at positions 1131 to 1382 of the family's 1533-position model. Lineage: Bacteria; Bacillati; Bacillota; Bacilli; Lactobacillales; Streptococcaceae. The record is from RNAcentral.